Molecule: ribosomal RNA, 497 nt
Filed under: uncultured bacterium
Lineage: Bacteria
Description: partial 16S ribosomal RNA
Rfam family: Bacterial small subunit ribosomal RNA
Source: RNAcentral
GAUGAACGCUGGCGGCGUGCCUAAUACAUGCAAGUCGAGCGAACAGACGAGGAGCUUGCUCCUCUGACGUGAGCGGCGGGCGGGUGAGUAACGUGUGUAUACCCUACCUAUAAGACGGGGAUAACUUCGGGAAACCGGAUCUAAUCGCGUAUAAUCUAUUGAACCGCAUUGGUCGAUAGUGAAAUACGGUUGUGCUGUCACGUAUAGAUGGAUCCGCGCCGCAUUAGCUAGUUGGUGAGGUAACGGCUUACGAAGGCUACGAUGCGUAGCCGACGUGAGAGAGUGAUAGGCCACACUGGAACUGGACCACGGUCCAGACUCCUAAGGGAGGCAGCAGUAGGGAAUCUUCCGCAACGGGCGAAAGCCUGACGGAGCAACGGCGCGUGAGUGAUGAAGGCCUUCGGAUCGUAAAACUCUGUUAUUAGGGAAGAACAACUGUGUAAGUAAAUAUGCCCGGCUUGACGGUACCUAAUCAGAAAGCCCCGGCUAACUACGUG